CUUGUAUCAUCAAGUAGGCAAUUCACUUGAUUUGAUGUAACAAUGAAGAGCGGAGCAGAGCAAGCAUGGCAGACUUGGAGUUGAGUAAUAAAUGAGGGAGGGAAGGAGGGGGGUCAAUGCGAGCAAAUAGCACGAGGACCAUGUCUGCUACUCUGCCAACAACCCACAUCCCUGUCUCUGUUCAACCCGUCAAAUCCCACUACCCUUUCCCAGCUCCAAUCCCACAAGCUCCUCCUUGAUCUCGUCUUCUCUUUCCCAUUUCCCUCUUCAAUCAACCUCUGUUUCUUUCGCUCAACUAUGCCUGCCAAAAAUCUUCUCAUGUUUCUUCUCUUACUCCUAUCCUUGAAUUCAGUUCACACAAUUGGCAUGGACAUGCCGAGGGAGAGGUUUCUUAUGCAGAAGAGGCGGAAGGAUUUGGGAUCAAGGCCUCCAAGGUGUGUAAACAAGUGCUUGAGUUGCCGGCCUUGCAUGGCCACAUUGGUUGUUUCUCCACGUCAUGAGACCAAGCUUCUCAAACCAUCCACACAUGUAGAAGAUGAUACUUAUUAUCUUCUCUCGUGGAAAUGCACUUGUGGAGAUAGAUUAUUUCAACCUUGAUCUCUUUAAAUAUUUAAUGUACACUGAUAUUAGUGUCUCCUCAUUUGAUGUUUCUUGUAUCAUAUAUGUGUAUGAUACUGACGAUGGAUUUUCAGAAGUCUCAACAUUCUGUGUGUGUGUGUGUGUGUGUCUUAGCUUCUAUUGUAAUGCACGAUCAUAUGUUCUGCAAUAUCAAGGAGGGCAAGUGUGUCUU
Molecule: long non-coding RNA, 790 nt
Organism: Dioscorea cayenensis subsp. rotundata (Guinea yam)
Lineage: Eukaryota; Viridiplantae; Streptophyta; Magnoliopsida; Dioscoreales; Dioscoreaceae
Exons: 3
Source: RefSeq, a predicted model, not a curated record